UCGAUUCACGCAUGCGAGUCGAGAGGUGUGAGACCUCGGCAUACUGCUCAGUAACACGUGGACAACCUAACCUGAAGAGGGGGAUAACCCCGGGAAACUGGGGAUAAUACCCCAUAGAUUAUGGAUGCUGGAAUGCUCUGUAGUUGAAAGGUCCGCCGCUUCAGGAUGGGUCUGCGGCCGAUUAGGUUGUUGUUGGGGUAACGGCCCAACAAGCCUGUAAUCGGUACGGGUUGUGGGAGCAAGAGCCCGGAGAUGGAUUCUGAGACACGAAUCCGGGCCCUACGGGGCGCAGCAGGCGCGAAAACUUUACAAUGCGAGCAAUCGUGAUAAGGGAACUCCGAGUGCCUGUAAAAUCAGGCUGUCCGCCGGUGUAAAUAACUGGUGAAGA
This 388-nucleotide ribosomal RNA is filed under the name uncultured methanogenic archaeon. Its description in RNAcentral is "bacterial SSU rRNA". It matches the Rfam family "Archaeal small subunit ribosomal RNA", at positions 40 to 437 of the family's 1478-position model. Lineage: Archaea; Methanobacteriati; Methanobacteriota. The record is from RNAcentral.